RNAcentral lists this ribosomal RNA (2925 nucleotides) under Escherichia coli. Its description in RNAcentral is "partial 23S ribosomal RNA". It matches the Rfam family "Bacterial large subunit ribosomal RNA". Lineage: Bacteria; Pseudomonadati; Pseudomonadota; Gammaproteobacteria; Enterobacterales; Enterobacteriaceae. The record is from RNAcentral.
GGGUUGUGAGGUUAAGCGACUAAGCGUACACGGUGGAUGCCCUGGCAGUCAGAGGCGAUGAAGGACGUGCUAAUCUGCGAUAAGCGUCGGUAAGGUGAUAUGAACCGUUAUAACCGGCGAUUUCCGAAUGGGGAAACCCAGUGUGAUUCGUCACACUAUCAUUAACUGAAUCCAUAGGUUAAUGAGGCGAACCGGGGGAACUGAAACAUCUAAGUACCCCGAGGAAAAGAAAUCAACCGAGAUUCCCCCAGUAGCGGCGAGCGAACGGGGAGCAGCCCAGAGCCUGAAUCAGUGUGUGUGUUAGUGGAAGCGUCUGGAAAGGCGCGCGAUACAGGGUGACAGCCCCGUACACAAAAAUGCACAUACUGUGAGCUCGAUGAGUAGGGCGGGACACGUGGUAUCCUGUCUGAAUAUGGGGGGACCAUCCUCCAAGGCUAAAUACUCCUGACUGACCGAUAGUGAACCAGUACCGUGAGGGAAAGGCGAAAAGAACCCCGGCGAGGGGAGUGAAAAAGAACCUGAAACCGUGUACGUACAAGCAGUGGGAGCCUCUUUAUGGGGUGACUGCGUACCUUUUGUAUAAUGGGUCAGCGACUUAUAUUCUGUAGCAAGGUUAACCGAAUAGGGGAGCCGAAGGGAAACCGAGUCUUAACUGGGCGUUAAGUUGCAGGGUAUAGACCCGAAACCCGGUGAUCUAGCCAUGGGCAGGUUGAAGGUUGGGUAACACUAACUGGAGGACCGAACCGACUAAUGUUGAAAAAUUAGCGGAUGACUUGUGGCUGGGGGUGAAAGGCCAAUCAAACCGGGAGAUAGCUGGUUCUCCCCGAAAGCUAUUUAGGUAGCGCCUCGUGAAUUCAUCUCCGGGGGUAGAGCACUGUUUCGGCAAGGGGGUCAUCCCGACUUACCAACCCGAUGCAAACUGCGAAUACCGGAGAAUGUUAUCACGGGAGACACACGGCGGGUGCUAACGUCCGUCGUGAAGAGGGAAACAACCCAGACCGCCAGCUAAGGUCCCAAAGUCAUGGUUAAGUGGGAAACGAUGUGGGAAGGCCCAGACAGCCAGGAUGUUGGCUUAGAAGCAGCCAUCAUUUAAAGAAAGCGUAAUAGCUCACUGGUCGAGUCGGCCUGCGCGGAAGAUGUAACGGGGCUAAACCAUGCACCGAAGCUGCGGCAGCGACACUAUGUGUUGUUGGGUAGGGGAGCGUUCUGUAAGCCUGUGAAGGUGUACUGUGAGGUAUGCUGGAGGUAUCAGAAGUGCGAAUGCUGACAUAAGUAACGAUAAAGCGGGUGAAAAGCCCGCUCGCCGGAAGACCAAGGGUUCCUGUCCAACGUUAAUCGGGGCAGGGUGAGUCGACCCCUAAGGCGAGGCCGAAAGGCGUAGUCGAUGGGAAACAGGUUAAUAUUCCUGUACUUGGUGUUACUGCGAAGGGGGGACGGAGAAGGCUAUGUUGGCCGGGCGACGGUUGUCCCGGUUUAAGCGUGUAGGCUGGUUUUCCAGGCAAAUCCGGAAAAUCAAGGCUGAGGCGUGAUGACGAGGCACUACGGUGCUGAAGCAACAAAUGCCCUGCUUCCAGGAAAAGCCUCUAAGCAUCAGGUAACAUCAAAUCGUACCCCAAACCGACACAGGUGGUCAGGUAGAGAAUACCAAGGCGCUUGAGAGAACUCGGGUGAAGGAACUAGGCAAAAUGGUGCCGUAACUUCGGGAGAAGGCACGCUGAUAUGUAGGUGAAGUCCCUCGCGGAUGGAGCUGAAAUCAGUCGAAGAUACCAGCUGGCUGCAACUGUUUAUUAAAAACACAGCACUGUGCAAACACGAAAGUGGACGUAUACGGUGUGACGCCUGCCCGGUGCCGGAAGGUUAAUUGAUGGGGUUAGCGGUAACGCGAAGCUCUUGAUCGAAGCCCCGGUAAACGGCGGCCGUAACUAUAACGGUCCUAAGGUAGCGAAAUUCCUUGUCGGGUAAGUUCCGACCUGCACGAAUGGCGUAAUGAUGGCCAGGCUGUCUCCACCCGAGACUCAGUGAAAUUGAACUCGCUGUGAAGAUGCAGUGUACCCGCGGCAAGACGGAAAGACCCCGUGAACCUUUACUAUAGCUUGACACUGAACAUUGAGCCUUGAUGUGUAGGAUAGGUGGGAGGCUUUGAAGUGUGGACGCCAGUCUGCAUGGAGCCGACCUUGAAAUACCACCCUUUAAUGUUUGAUGUUCUAACGUUGGCCCCUGAUCGGGGUUGCGGACAGUGUCUGGUGGGUAGUUUGACUGGGGCGGUCUCCUCCUAAAGAGUAACGGAGGAGCACGAAGGUUGGCUAAUCCUGGUCGGACAUCAGGAGGUUAGUGCAAUGGCAUAAGCCAGCUUGACUGCGAGCGUGACGGCGCGAGCAGGUGCGAAAGCAGGUCAUAGUGAUCCGGUGGUUCUGAAUGGAAGGGCCAUCGCUCAACGGAUAAAAGGUACUCCGGGGAUAACAGGCUGAUACCGCCCAAGAGUUCAUAUCGACGGCGGUGUUUGGCACCUCGAUGUCGGCUCAUCACAUCCUGGGGCUGAAGUAGGUCCCAAGGGUAUGGCUGUUCGCCAUUUAAAGUGGUACGCGAGCUGGGUUUAGAACGUCGUGAGACAGUUCGGUCCCUAUCUGCCGUGGGCGCUGGAGAACUGAGGGGGGCUGCUCCUAGUACGAGAGGACCGGAGUGGACGCAUCACUGGUGUUCGGGUUGUCAUGCCAAUGGCACUGCCCGGUAGCUAAAUGCGGAAGAGAUAAGUGCUGAAAGCAUCUAAGCACGAAACUUGCCCCGAGAUGAGUUCUCCCUGACUCCCUGAGAGUCCUGAAGGAACGUUGAAGACGACGACGUUGAUAGGCCGGGUGUGUAAGCGCAGCGAUGCGUUGAGCUAACCGGUACUAAUGAACCGUGAGGCUUAACCUUACAACGCCGAAG